UGUUAUAGUAUUUUAUUGUCCACGCGCGUUA
This 31-nucleotide ribosomal RNA is filed under the name Hansenula anomala. RNAcentral describes it as "Wickerhamomyces anomalus partial 18S ribosomal RNA". Lineage: Eukaryota; Fungi; Ascomycota; Saccharomycetes; Phaffomycetales; Wickerhamomycetaceae. The record is from RNAcentral.